CGCACUGCGCCGGGGGCCGGCCGCGCGACCGCUUCACUGACGUCAAAACAACUCGCGACGGCGGCGGCGGUUGCUGCGGAGCCGCUCCCGGUGUCCCGCCCGUCCCGGUGUCCCGCCCGUCCCGGACCGACCGGCGAUCUUCUUGGACAUCCAUCAGAUUUCACUUUUCAAAUCAUGGAGGGAGAACAGAUUAUGGAGGGACAGCCACAGGUUCCAGAAAAUCCUCAUUCCGAAUAUGGCCUCACUGAAAAUGUAGAGAGGAUAGUAGAAAAUGAGAAACUAAAUGCUGAGAAAACGUCAAAGCAGAAGGUGGAUCUUCAGUCAUUACCCACACGUGCCUACUUGGAUCAGACAGUUGUACCUAUCUUGCUACAGGGACUUGCUGUUCUUGCAAAAGAGAGGUUUAUGAACCCAUGAGUUGCUGUGAUUGACCAUGCAGGAUGGAUUCCUCACUUAGGCACACACGGCAUGACAGGAGUUUUUUAUUGAAUUCAUGAUCUCCCAAUGAGGCAUAUUUGCUCACUGCCAGACCUUUGGUUUGACCUGCUGUGGAAUAAGUAUGUCAUUUAUUCUGUGGACAGAAUCCAGAUUAGCAGGAUUCACAUGGUAUAGCCAGAGGAGUUCUUUUAAAAAAAACUACGGACUAAGGCCAGUGAUCAAAAGUGUUUAUUAUUGACUACUUGUAAGUUACAGUACUUCUCAGACUUGAAGAUUUGUUGUGUUUCAGUUGCCAGAAACCAUGAAAUAACUCUUAAUACACUAAGCUACACAAUAACCACUCAAAAAAAAAAAAAAAAACAGAUUCAGUUUUACUUUAAAUAGCAUAAGUUAAAGAAAUUGGCAAAUUCAUGUCGUAUCCAAGGAUGUACAUACAGUAUUUAUGCUUACAGCUUGUGGUUUUAGGUAUGUAAGUAGGUAACUGUUCUAGCAAUUUAGUAACAUUGAACCCAUGGUGACUAAGACCCCUUUUUAAAAA
RNA transcript from Pyrgilauda ruficollis (rufous-necked snowfinch), 976 nucleotides. It is a transcript of the gene named dpy-30 histone methyltransferase complex regulatory subunit, with no coding region annotated. The record is from RefSeq and is a predicted model, not a curated record. NCBI's taxonomy places the organism in Eukaryota, Metazoa, Chordata, Aves, Passeriformes, Passeridae. The transcript is spliced from 6 exons.